RNAcentral lists this long non-coding RNA (909 nucleotides) under Paramuricea clavata. The record is from RNAcentral. Lineage: Eukaryota; Metazoa; Cnidaria; Anthozoa; Malacalcyonacea; Plexauridae.
GCCUUCAUUUCCGCGCAACUGCUAUUUACGACGAAAAUUCCCGCCGCGCAUUUAUAAUACUACAGUCUGGCCCAUACUUUCCUGUAAAUUUCGACAUACUAAAACGCUGUUUUCUGACUAUCAGAAUUCUGUUAAAUCUUCCCCCAAAGUCCAGGAAAUGGCAUUUUAGAGACUCUAAAUUUAAAAAUUUCCUCGGGCCUUUGGCCCUCGCUUUCAGCCCCCCCAAUCGAAAAGAGCUUCCUACGGCCCUGACUUGACAGGUUUUGAUCUGAUUUUAAUCUGUUCAAGAACCAGAUCCAAGCUUUGAAACCAAUGAUCAUCAUAAACAUUGAAUUUUCUCGGUAAAAACAUUGAACUUUGAUAUGAGAAUAGACAAUACUUUAAUGCGACCGUUCAUCCUUAGUGCAUUCAGGAAAUGAGUCCGCCUUUUACAAAUUGCAGCCCGCGAUUUGUAAAACACGGACUCAGUCCGCGUUUUACAAAUCUUAGUUCGCGAUUUGUAAAACACGGACUCAGUCCGUGUCCGUGUUUUCCCCGGUCCAGUCCAGUCCAGUCCAGUCCGUGUUUUACAAAUUCAGUCCGCGAUUUGUAAAACACGGACUCAGUCCGCGUUUUCUCGGUCCAGUCCACUCCAGUUCGGUCCAGUCCAGUCCAGUCCGUCUUUUACAACAUGCCGUAAAUUUCAACAUACUAAAACGGUGUUUUCUGACCAUCAGAAUUCUGUCAAAACUUCCCCCAAAGUCCUGGAAAUGGCAUUUCAGAGACUCUAAAUUUAAAAAUUUCCUCGGGCCUUCGGUCCUCAUUUUCAGCCCCNNNNNNNNNNNNNNNNNNNNGCCUUCAUUUCCGCGCAACUGCCAUUUACGACGAAAAUUCCCGCCGCGCAUUUAUAAUACUACAGUCUGGCCCAUA